UCCUGAUAUUGCAAGAGAAGGCUUCCAUCUGUAAUGCCUGGGUACUGCCAUUGCCUCAUGGACACCCACCACUGACAACGGCUCUCUGGAUACCUCCCUGAUUACACCCGGCUCCUGGCUCUUGGUACCUAAAGUCUCUAGGUUUCUGGAAUUGCUGAUCACCGUUGCAGGCUUCAUCACCCCAAAGAAAUAAAGAACUUGAAGCACAAAUGGCAGGCACAACCCUGAGCACAACUGUCUUCAUCUGAACUUUAGUGGAUGAGAUGCUGGGAAAUGCAAGGGAAGGCGGAAUUCUUCCUCCUCCAUCUACCAAAAGAGGAGAAGAGCUACCUGGGAGAGUGAUGAAGUGAGAAAUUGCUGACAGAGUGAAUUUCUUCUGAAUAAGAAAGUUGUACUGUAACAUGGAACACGGUGUUAUUUUGCUUUCUUGGUGUGGCGAUUGCACACACAAAUUCUGCCAGACCACCCAUCUGGGUGGGUGUGUACAGCUACAAGAACUACCUUCACACAUACAUUGCAGAGAGGAGCUGUUACUGACGGCUGAAGAAAAGGUUGUUCCCAGGUGCCUGUUUGCUGUGUUGAGUGGAAGUUCACCAGAGGGAUUGCUGACAAUCAUUACUCCUGGUGGAAUAAAGUCUGCUCUAGUGCCGUGGGCUCGUUUGGACUGAGGAUCUGCUCAGAGGCAGUGAGUGUUACAAGCUAAAAAAAAAGAUCAGGUCUUAAAAUGUCACUCAAUUCUCCAAUGCCCUGAGCCACCUGUAAUUGCUUACUCCGUACACAUGGCUUCCAAACCAUUUUAUUACUCGGCUGUUACACUCGGCAGAGGUAGCAUUUACUUACCUUUCCCAAGUGAAACAAAUGCCCAGAACAGCAAAGAAUCAGGCCAAGUGUGUUCCUCUAAACGAGCUUUACUUUCUUGAACUGCCAUAAAAUAUUAACUGUGUUAACAGAAAAAUUAAUCUCACUUUUUUCUUCCCCCCCCCCCC
Molecule: long non-coding RNA, 986 nt
Filed under: Calidris pugnax (ruff)
Lineage: Eukaryota; Metazoa; Chordata; Aves; Charadriiformes; Scolopacidae
Description: lncRNA (ENSCPUG00000011732.1)
Source: RNAcentral